This 552-nucleotide ribosomal RNA is filed under the name Bifidobacterium pseudocatenulatum. Its description in RNAcentral is "bacterial SSU rRNA". It matches the Rfam family "Bacterial small subunit ribosomal RNA", at positions 147 to 711 of the family's 1533-position model. Lineage: Bacteria; Bacillati; Actinomycetota; Actinomycetes; Bifidobacteriales; Bifidobacteriaceae. The record is from RNAcentral.
CUCCUGGAAACGGGUGGUAAUGCCGGAUGCUCCGACUCCUCGCAUGGGGUGUCGGGAAAGAUUUCAUCGGUAUGGGAUGGGGUCGCGUCCUAUCAGGUAGUCGGCGGGGUAACGGCCCACCGAGCCUACGACGGGUAGCCGGCCUGAGAGGGCGACCGGCCACAUUGGGACUGAGAUACGGCCCAGACUCCUACGGGAGGCAGCAGUGGGGAAUAUUGCACAAUGGGCGCAAGCCUGAUGCAGCGACGCCGCGUGCGGGAUGACGGCCUUCGGGUUGUAAACCGCUUUUGAUCGGGAGCAAGCCUUCGGGUGAGUGUACCUUUCGAAUAAGCACCGGCUAACUACGUGCCAGCAGCCGCGGUAAUACGUAGGGUGCAAGCGUUAUCCGGAAUUAUUGGGCGUAAAGGGCUCGUAGGCGGUUCGUCGCGUCCGGUGUGAAAGUCCAUCGCUUAACGGUGGAUCUGCGCCGGGUACGGGCGGGCUGGAGUGCGGUAGGGGAGACUGGAAUUCCCGGUGUAACGGUGGAAUGUGUAGAUAUCGGGAAGAACACCA